UCUGCAUGCAUCAGAAUCUCUGAAACAUGCCUAGCGUUUAAAUGAAAUAGAAGAAAGAAGAUCUUUCUACCUUCUGCAAUAAGUUGAAAAUUGAAAGGAAUCAGUAAUCUCCGAUUUCUGAUUUGGUAGCACGUCAAAUAUUUGAAAGCCUUAAGAGCAAAGAAAGGACUUCUCAAAAAAGAAGGACUUCUGCCUCCAGACAACAAAUACAAAUUCUGCCUGAUUUUUCUCCCUUCACACUCAAGACUACAACAACUCUUACCUGAAUCUUCAGACUGCCAUCUUGCCCAACACAUUUCAGACUUACCAGCCACCAAAAUCAUAUGGCCCUAUGCAAACCAGGAAAGGUACCCUCACCAGACAAUGGAUCUGCCAGCAUGUUGACCCCAGAUUUUCCAGCCUCUAGAAGUGUAAGAAAUAAAUUUUUGCUUUUUAUCUGCUACACAGUCUAUGAUAUUUUUGUUAUAGCAGCCCAAACAGAUUAAGAUGCUCCAUAAAGGGAAGUCCAUGUCACAAUUGUAAAAACAAUUUCUAUACUACCAGUCUAUUUUUCUGAUGUCCUCUUCCUCUUCAGACAUAGCUGACAUUUUCCUGACAUAUAAUCCUCUUCUGAUUCUGAACAGAAAAUGAUCUGCUACAAUCGUAUACAUCUUAACUGGUACUCAUUCGCAAACUCAGAGUCUUCUCUGUGUUCUGAGUGCUUUUGGAAAAGGCAUCUUAUACAAUCAAAGUGACUAUAGUUAAUUGCAAAGAGGGAUGGAAACUAAUGGCAGCAGCUGCCAUUUCCUGAACACCUACAAGGUGGCAUUCUCUGUGAUGGACACUCUCUGGAAAUGAUCUCUAAAUUUCACAGCUCCUGUUAAGGCAAGUGCUACUAUAUAUAAAAUUCAGAGAUGAGAAAAUUAAGGGUCAGAGAAAUAAAUCACCUGGUUGAAGACAUGUAAUUAGAAAAAAAGCAAGUAAGUCCAUAAGGCCAGCAUGUUUUGUAAGCAAUCAUAUCUGCCUGCCAUAUCUAACAUUAUCCUAUGUUUAAGAGAGAAUAUGAUUAUUAUAGAAAAAGUGAAAGCUGCAUACUGGACUUGGACAUUGAUUUUUUUAAAGCUGCUGAAAAAAAUCUUCAAACAUAUUUGUUUUAUGUGUGGGCCUUUUCUCCCCUCUUCUUUAACAUUUACUCAGUCCUUGGGUGGGGCUCAGGAACAGCUACAGAAGGAAGCACACAUACUAUAUGUCUAAAUAUGUAAAAGUUAUAAAUCAAACUAUGACAUGGAAAGGUAUUCUAUCCUCUAACCUGAAAGGGUCAAACUUGAAUAUAGAACUAUUGCACUUUUUGGAAUUCUGAGCUAAAUAUGGUACAAAGAGGAAAUCCUGCUCCAAAUCAUCAAUCUCUAGUCCUAAAUAUGCAACCUCACUCCUUUUCUCCUACUUUUGACUCAUCACAAACUGACAGGAGCAUUGGGGAUCCCCUGCCCACACACCAAAGCUCCAUCUAUAUUCACAAAGUUAUCCUAGGGCCAGAGAUGUUCCCAACAAAGUUACUCCACAUUUGGGUACGACAAUGGGGAAAAUCUCAGAGAUAGUUAGACAGUGGAUUCUAGAGUCCCAAGUACCCAGAGCACACAUCUCUGAAGGGCAUUCAUGAGUUCCGAGUAGGCUUAUCUCCUUGACCCCUUGAGACCUUCACCACAUAAAAAGGUAUGUUUUGGGAAGAAGGCCAGGUACCCAGAUGAGAGGCUCCUUCUGUCCAAGUCCAAAGUUGGUUCUGUGUUUUGCCCUCAAAUAUCAAGGACCCAGAGCUAGUUCUCAUUGUAGCCUCUUCAUUCCAUGUUCCACCAUCCCUGUUGGAAGUUCUAUCCCCUGUUAUAGCUUGGAAAUCAUUCUGUGUCCUUCCUUUUUUUUUUCUUUUUCCACCUUCACUUUGUUCUCUGCUCCAUUCCAUAUCUCUCUGUCUGUC
Non-coding RNA from Microcebus murinus (gray mouse lemur), 1951 nucleotides. The record is from RefSeq and is a predicted model, not a curated record. Lineage: Eukaryota; Metazoa; Chordata; Mammalia; Primates; Cheirogaleidae.